This 348-nucleotide long non-coding RNA is filed under the name Vulpes vulpes (red fox). RNAcentral's name for it is "lncRNA (ENSVVUG00000018613.1)". Lineage: Eukaryota; Metazoa; Chordata; Mammalia; Carnivora; Canidae. The record is from RNAcentral.
AUACUAUAUUGUGAGCUAAGGAGAGUGAGGUAGGAAAAUGCAUAAUCAGGGUGCUGCUGGCUGGAGAAAACUACUCAGUGCCUUUGAAGACAGCUCUAGUUAAGGUUCAAGAGCAGCCACUGCUAGCAUAAUUACUAUCAAUGAAAGUGGCAACACCCGUGGUGAGUUCCCAGAAUAGCUGAGAUUCUAAUUGAUAACACACAGAGAACACAAGCAAAUCAGAAAGGACAAAAGGCUAUUAAUUUUGAGUAUAAACUACAUGAAAUGAAAAUGAAGACAAGGAAAAUGUGUUUUAACAGAAAGAAAGGACUCUGUGCUCAGAAUCGGCUUCUUCCUUUUAUGGGUUGA